RNAcentral lists this transfer RNA (65 nucleotides) under Crassvirales sp. RNAcentral's name for it is "tRNA-Ala". It matches the Rfam family "tRNA". From Rfam's summary of the family: Transfer RNA (tRNA) molecules are approximately 80 nucleotides in length. Their secondary structure includes four short double-helical elements and three loops (D, anti-codon, and T loops). The record is from RNAcentral. Lineage: Duplodnaviria; Heunggongvirae; Uroviricota; Caudoviricetes; Crassvirales.
ACCUCCUUAAUUUAAUGGAUGAACAUAUUCGCGAUAAGGUGCAGGUUCAAAUCCUGCAGGAGGUU